Molecule: ribosomal RNA, 451 nt
Filed under: uncultured bacterium
Lineage: Bacteria
Description: partial 16S ribosomal RNA
Rfam family: Bacterial small subunit ribosomal RNA
Source: RNAcentral
AGCGAACGCUGGCGGCAGGCUUAACACAUGCAAGUCGAGCGGGCAUCUUCGGGUGUCAGCGGCGGACGGGUGAGUAACGCGUGGGAACGUGCCUUCUGGUUCGGAAUAACUCAGGGAAACUUGAGCUAAUACCGGAUACGCCCUUUUGGGGAAGGGUUUACUGCCGGAAGAUCGGCCCGCGUCGGAGUAGCUAGUUGGUGGGGUAACGGCCUACCAAGGCGACGAUCAGUAGCUGGUCUGAGAGGAUGAACAGCCACACUGGGACUGAGACACGGCCCAGACUCCUACGGGAGGCAGCAGUGGGGAAUAUUGGACAAUGGGGGCAACCCUGAUCCAGCCAUGCCGCGUGAGUGAUGAAGGCCUUAGGGUUGUAAAGCUCUUUUAUCCGGGACGAUAAUGACGGUACCGGAGGAAUAAGCCCCGGCUAACUUCGUGCCAGCCGCCGCGGUAA